This 359-nucleotide long non-coding RNA is filed under the name Monodelphis domestica (gray short-tailed opossum). RNAcentral describes it as "lncRNA (ENSMODG00000032226.2)". The record is from RNAcentral. Lineage: Eukaryota; Metazoa; Chordata; Mammalia; Didelphimorphia; Didelphidae.
UUUUGUGGUAAGGACAAAUUGGGCAGAAAAUGAGAGUAUAGCAGAUGAUUAGCCAUGUUUUGAUGUAUAUGUUGCCCACUAAGCACUUUCUGCUUAUUUUACAGUCUCCAUUGUGUAUAGUAAUAUUUUUAAUAGAGGGGAAUCUAUUGCUGACUACUGAUGGACACUUUUUGUUUCUGAAGCCUUCAUCAUCUUUGAUUGAACGUUACAGGUGGAAGAAUAUGGUGAUAAACAUCUAACAAGCAUAAGGAGGAAAGAGAUCUAUGGAUGGAGGAUCAGAGAUCCAGGGCAAUGGCUGACAGCUCAAUUAAAUUCUUGCCACUCUUCAGUUUCCAAUAAAUUUUUAAUUUGUCUCUCCA